This 1350-nucleotide ribosomal RNA is filed under the name metagenome. RNAcentral's name for it is "bacterial LSU rRNA". It matches the Rfam family "Bacterial large subunit ribosomal RNA", at positions 1564 to 2925 of the family's 2925-position model. The record is from RNAcentral.
UGAGUACGAGCUGCUACGGCAGCGAAGUGGGUGAUGUCAAGCUUCCAAGAAAAGCCCUAUACCCGUUAAGGCAUGAUGGCCUGUACCCGAAACCGACACAGGUGGGGUGGUAGAGAAUACCGAGGGGCGCGAGAUAACUCUCUCUAAGGAACUCGGCAAAAUGGCCCCGUAACUUCGGGAGAAGGGGUGCCACCGCAAGGUGGUCGCAGUGAAGAGGCCCAGGCGACUGUUUACCAAAAACACAGGUCUCCGCUAAGUCGCAAGACGAUGUAUGGGGGCUGACGCCUGCCCAGUGCCGGAAGGUUAAGGAAGCUGGUCAGCGUAAGCGAAGCUAGCGACUGAAGCCCCGGUGAACGGCGGCCGUAACGAUAACGGUCCUAAGGUAGCGAAAUUCCUUGUCGGGUAAGUUCCGACCCGCACGAAAGGCGUAACGAUCUGGGCGCUGUCUCGGAGAGAGGCUCGGCGAAAUAGAAUUGUCUGUGAAGAUGCGGACUACGUGCACCCGGACAGAAAGACCCUAUGAAGCUUUACUGUAGCUUGGUAUUGUGCUCGGGCUCGGAAUGCGCAGGAUAGGUGGGAGGCUAUGAACCAUUGCUUGUGGGUGAUGGUGAGCCACUGGUGAGAUACCACUCUUUCCGAGCUAGAGUUCUAACAGCCACCCGUUAUCCGGGGGCUGGACAGUAUCAGGUGGGCAGUUUGACUGGGGCGGUCGCCUCCUAAAAGGUAACGGAGGCGCGCAAAGGUUUGCUCAGGCUGGUUGGAAAUCAGCCGACGAGUGUAAAAGCAGAAGCAAGCUUGACUGUGAGACCUACAAGUCGAACAGGGAGGAAACUCGGCUUUAGUGAUCCGACGGUUCUGCGUGGAAGGGCCGUCGCUCAACGGAUAAAAGUUACUCUAAGGAUAACAGGCUGAUCUCCCCCAAGAGUUCACAUCGACGGGGAGGUUUGGCACCUCGAUGUCGGCUCAUCGCAACCUGGGGCUGAAGUCGGUCCCAAGGGUUGGGCUGUUCGCCCAUUAAAGCGGUACGCGAGCUGGGUUCAGAACGUCGUGAGACAGUUCGGUCCAUAUCCGGUGCAUGCGCAGGAAUAUUGAGAGGAUUUCUCCCUAGUACGAGAGGACCGGGGGGAACGCACCUCUGGUGUACCAGUUAUCGUGCCAACGGUAAACGCUGGGUAGCCAUGUGCGGAGAGGAUAACCGCUGAAAGCAUCUAAGUGGGAAGCCCACCUCAAGAUGAGUAUUCCCAUGGGGUAACCCAGUAAGGUCACGGGAAGAACACCCGUUGAUAGGCUCUACGUGGAAGCGCAGUAAUGUGUGAAGCGGAGGAGUACUAAUAGACCGAGGGCUUGACC